Molecule: ribosomal RNA, 497 nt
Filed under: uncultured bacterium
Lineage: Bacteria
Description: partial 16S ribosomal RNA
Rfam family: Bacterial small subunit ribosomal RNA
Source: RNAcentral
GAUGAACGCUGGCGGCGUGCUUAACACAUGCAAGUCGAACGGUGAAGCGCCUUGCUUUUUGGUGGGAGGGGAGGAGCGGCGAACGGGUGAGUAACACGAGAGUAACCUGCUCCCACCGGGUGGAUAACCGCAUGAAAGUGUGGCUAAUACGGGAUAUUCUGGGUCGGUUGCAUGAUGGGUCAGGGAAAGAUAUGGUGUCGGUGGGGGAUGGGCCCGCGGCGGAUUAGCUAGUUGGUGGGGUGAUGGCCUACCAAGGCGGUGAUGGGUAGCCGGCCUGAGAGGGUGAUCGGCCACCCUGCAACGGCGACACCGCCCCGACUCCUACUACAGGCAGCAGCAGGGAGUCAUCUUCAACAGUCGGCGGCCGCCUGCUACAGCGCCGCGGCAGUAAUGAUGGUCGCCUUAGGGUUAUAAACUUCUUUCACCGAUGAAGCAGGCCUGCCUCAUUUGUAGAUGGGUUGACGGUACCUGGACAAAAAGCCACGGCUAACUACGUG